RNAcentral lists this long non-coding RNA (752 nucleotides) under Bemisia tabaci. Its description in RNAcentral is "lncRNA ENSASIAIIG013046". The record is from RNAcentral. Lineage: Eukaryota; Metazoa; Arthropoda; Insecta; Hemiptera; Aleyrodidae.
GUUUCCGUUUCCGGUGCUGCAUUGCCUCCGCAAACUAUCACUUGACGCAUGCCACUUGGCCAGAUUCGAGAUUAGGUACGCAAAAGUAGCGAAUUUUUUUUGAAGGUUAGGUACUUAUCUUUCUUGCUUUCACACCCCUUGGACGUUGAUGUGUUGAGAGGUAUCGGCAACAGUUCAUUAUACUGACAUAGAAUCUAAGUGAUUAAAGGUCCAAAAGCAGUAGGUACAUGUACUGACUUGCAUUCCUUGCAAAAUAGCCCUCGGAAAAUCCUGUCAGCUUUUAACUUACGAGUGCCUACUUGACUAGCUGCCAUUUGAAUAUGGAUCUUAGUCGUCGUUUGUCAAUCAUUUCUCAGGGGACCAGCCUAUCUCGCCAAAGUUCUUUUUCAGGAAGGGAACGAGCUCCUAGCUGUAUGCAGGAUGUUCUUGGCCAGAUUCAAAAACUGGAAUUUGAAAAUAAUGAAACUCAACUGGAUAUUGAUGCGAAGAAACUGCUGGUUGUUGAGCAGGAGAAAGAAAUAGAGGAACUUAGAAUUACAAACCUAGCCUUGGAAUCGGAAUAUCUACAGAUGCAACCCGAUUUUGAGACGUUAGCUAUUCGAAAAAAGCAAAGUGAACUACAGUUAGAGGUGUGGGAGAAAUUUAAAUUGGAAAAAGCAGAAAUCCUAGCAGAGAUCAAACGAAAAUUGGAACAAAAGGAAGAGGAAAUAAAGAUGAAUAGAUCACAGUUUAGUGGUGAGUUUUUUUUGUAG